AACUGUAACUAUGCAAACAAAGAGAACAAUAUAGUAGUCACAGCCUAUGCUUCAGAGUAUCAAUUGAUUGCCUGCAGAGGACCAGGGAAGAAUCUCCACCACUAAAAACUGGGCCAAUAUGUCAUUGAAUAAUUACCUAGCUUUCCCCAAGAAUUGUACUGUGACUCUUUUUAUAUUUUUAUUUUUUGCAUCCAUUUUUGAUUCUAGACAGACUCUUGCAUGGGGGGCUCAUCUCCAUCGGCUCGCUCUACUUUAGCGAGUCUCAGCCCCAGAGGGUUUUCCAGUGCUGCCACCUUCACCGUGCAGUUCCAUCAGUUUGCCCAAUUCAAACUUGGCUUCUUAAGCAUCUUCACUUUGCGGACAUACACAUAAUGAAGCGGAAGAGCACAUGUCUGACCUCCA
Dermochelys coriacea (leatherback sea turtle) is the source of this 402-nucleotide long non-coding RNA. RefSeq lists it as uncharacterized. The record is from RefSeq and is a predicted model, not a curated record. The transcript has 4 exons. Lineage: Eukaryota; Metazoa; Chordata; Testudines; Dermochelyidae.